This 61-nucleotide transfer RNA is filed under the name Ictidomys tridecemlineatus (thirteen-lined ground squirrel). RNAcentral describes it as "Spermophilus tridecemlineatus (thirteen-lined ground squirrel) tRNA". It matches the Rfam family "tRNA", at positions 6 to 65 of the family's 71-position model. Rfam says of the family: Transfer RNA (tRNA) molecules are approximately 80 nucleotides in length. Their secondary structure includes four short double-helical elements and three loops (D, anti-codon, and T loops). The record is from Rfam by way of RNAcentral. Lineage: Eukaryota; Metazoa; Chordata; Mammalia; Rodentia; Sciuridae.
UGGGGCUCAGGGGCAGAGCACUCGCCUUGCAUGCGUGAGGCCCUGGGUUCGAUCCUCAGCA